AAUAAUAUUAAACAAUGAAUCUCCCAUUGGUUCACAAAGUAUGCAAUUUUUCUCUCAACUGAAAUGACAACCACAUUUUGUCAGCGAUAUUUGGUUAAUGGAGCACCAACAAAUCUCCUAGAGUAUUUCAUUUGGAGGUUAAAGGGAAUAAGAAUAAAGGAUGUAAAAUAACCAGUGACACCUUAGCUCUCACUACACACUUGGCAAACAAAUACAUUAGGUGACUACUGAUUAUCUGUAGCUAAAUCUUAUCUGAAGUACAACCAAGAUGAACAGAAACAUUUCACCUCACUUUUGGUGGAAAAAUACUCUUCUCUGAUUGAUCAUUCAGUUACACAGUGAUCCGCUUAACACAUCGCAGGUUGAUCUGCAAUCACAUAAGCAAGCAUUUGCAUUAGAACAAAAGGAAGAAUGAAAUGUUUGAUCUUUCAUAUGGUACUAUUGAUCCUAGAGCAACGCUAAAUAGGAGAUUAGUAACACACAUCACUCUCCCGGCAAGAAGCAGCUCUCCCGGCAGUAACACGCAUCACUCUCUCGGCAGAAGGUGACUCUUCUUCAGAUUGUUGACCAUAUUCAUUAUUCACAAUAACGAAGUACAACUCCAAAUCAGAAAGGUCGUCGAUAAUGCUGAGCAUGGAAAGGUUUCUGUAGUUACCAUUAAUGUAAUCAAUGAGUACCAACUAUUGCUUGAUGCAUAUAUAAACAAUCAGAAGGUUGUCUACCUAGAUUUCUUCCUACCCAACUUUCCUUUAUCAGCAAGGAGGAACUGUUUUUUUCAUAUAUAAACAAUAAGCAGGUGACCUAAUGGACUAUGCAACCCAUAGAUUAAUUAUGCAAGAAGUUACCAUUCCUAUAAUUAGCAAGCAUCAAUCAUUGUUUGGUGCAUCUACAAACAAUGAGGAGGCGGUCUAAUUCUGGAGCACAUAGAUUAAUUAUCUGUGUAGUCAGACUUCCUCUGUUAGGAAGCAGCAACUACUACCCGCCGCACAUAUUUCUCCCAAAUCACUAACCUGAACAGGUAUUACAGUACACUGAAAAUUGGGCACACCCUACAGACAUGGAUAUGAACCAAAAUGCAUAUAUCUCUCCCAAAGCACUAAACAGGAAGCAAACCACCAGGGAAACCAUAAGUACAUAUGGCCAGCCAUAUCUUAUGAAGGUAUCCUAUGCUACAAAGACACAAUACCCAAAAAGACAUUUGGAUUGCAGUGCAGCCUCACAAUUGAAGCCGAAAACAUCAAAGAUUAAGCAUGUCAAGAGUGCACAUUUUUAUCGGAUAGAAUCUCACUUGAAGGCGUGACAACAUGUUUCCUUGCACAACAUAGGUCAAUCCACAACCAAAAUGAACCAAAUGUUCACAAUAUCCUUUCUUGUAUGCAUCAAGCAGAAUUCAAAAUCUCAUGGAGGUUCUGUACCAUUUGCCUUUGGCCACCACCUGGACAGUACACAACCAAAUUUAGCUGAAGUUUAUAAUAAACAUGCAUGCAACGAUAGCAGCCUAUAUUAAUUUUAUACCUGGCUUACAGGAAACCAGAAGCUAUGUACUGGCAAUUAACCAGAAAAGGAGGAGAAAUUCAGAAAAAUCUAGUAUGUAACCUAGUUUAACAAUGCUUAUAUCCCCAAUCCAAGCUCUACAUAUUUCAGCUCACUAAUGCUUACAAAAAAUAAAAAAUAGUACCCUCAUUUUGGAACUUGAAUCUGCAAACAUGGUGUCUAACUAAAAAUCAGAGUCAUGGUUAAGAUAAAGGAGCACCUCUGGAACGAGAGCGGUGGCUAAAAGCAUCAGACCACCAAAACAUCCCAUAGCACACAGUCCAACAGCGAACCAUCUCCUGAACCUAAUUAAGUAAUGUAUAUAUGAAUCUAAACUACAUGACAUAAGCUGAAGAACAACACGAGCAUGCAGAUCCAACUCUGUGAAUUUGCAAACAAAAGGCCCAAAAAAUUCACCUCCAGAUGAGGUCUCCGAGAAGCAUAAAGUCGCCAUCCUUGUCUCCGUUCCGCUCACCGCCACGAGACUCAUCUCCUCGUACCCACCCUGCAUCCAAGAGCCAAAUCGUCAGAAACCCACCAGAAGAACAACACAUAACAUGCUCGUCUCUGCUGCUAUUGAGUACAUGAACAGGAUAUGUUCUUGGCUGCAAACUAUUAACUUUUUAGGAAUUUUAAGCAACAUUAUAGAAGCUGAAAUACAACCAGAUCUAUUUUAACAAUAGGUUUAUGAGAUUAUGGUGUGCCUUUUCUUAUCUAUCUGUCACAAUAUAUUAUAUAAUGGGUACAUGCUAUCUGGAACAUGAAAGACAAGGGAAAAUUAAAAGGGUCAACUGUUAUACAAUACAUAUGUACCCAGAGCCAUUAACUUAAAAGGGUCAAUAUAUUUUCUACACUAUGCUUUGUGAAAUUAACUCUUUUAUGUACCUCCCUCACAAACAUUCACGGUUACCAAAUCUAGAUGAUUUUUAUUUGAACUUUUAGAACUGAAUACCAAGAGCAUACAUGCCUCUUACUUUGCAACCUUAGCCAAACAUAGUGGAGAGAAUACGAGGAGUGCUGUAUAGGAAAAAAAUUAAGUUAAUAGCUGUCCCUGCAGUUUCCAUCAGAUUAACAUUAAAACUCAUCAAAAAGUAAGGAAUAGCGAGCCAAAUGUGAAUUGUAUUACAACACAAGGUUUUAAAUUGUGCGGUCCGAUAAAAAUGAAGUUAAAUGAUGUGUGCCCUAUGGUAUGCAGACUGUUUCAUCCUUAGAAAUUGUAAUGCAAAAUCAGGCUGUCUGCUAGCAUAAAGGUGGCUUUUAAAUAUUAGAAUGCCACUUCAAAGUUGAAGUAAGUAUGAACCCACAGAAAAUCACCACUACCCAACCAUAAACAGAGAGGAAGUAAUAUGAGCUGAGAUCUUCGAUGGCAUAAAAAAAUUUAGAGCAUAUUUGACAUAUCAUUUUGAAGUUAAAAAUAGCAAAUAAGCUACAGCCAAGAAAGAACACAUUAAGUAGCUAGAGAGUAUACACUACUUUCUAAUAGGAAAGAAGGUAAUUUACCCGGCAAGGUAUUGUCACUGAUUCCAACAUGAAAGAACAAAGAAACCUGGGAUAAUCCCAACCACAUCUGUCCAUACAAAAAACACAAGUCAAUACACCAAAGGCAUGCCCAAUACAAAAGGAGCAACACGAUAGGCAUCAUAAAAAGUACCUGUGAAACGCUCAGGCGUGUUUGUAGGCCUUGGGAGCUGAUUAAUUGGAGUCAGGACAUAGGUGCAGAAAGGAAAUUCUGCUUCUAGACCCUCCCAUCACGCAACAGUUGUAUACCUAGUGAACUUAAUCAUGUAUUGACUCUCCACCAGCCCGAAGACAUACUUCUUGAGAAAGACCAGAAACUUGCGACAGAUCAUCAACCCACACUCUUGGGGGACACAUAUAAAUUGGUUAACAAAUUUCUCAGGCAUCUCUGCAUACAUAUGGUUACCCUGCGAGGAAAAGAGUAUGGUUCAACACAGGAGAAAUAACAGACCAUUAAAUAACAGGACAAGAAAGACAGGAAACCAGAUCAAAGAAUACAUGUACCUGCAUCUAGUAUAACCACAUCCAUCUCCUUGAUAGGUCCAUUUUCGGUUCCACCAUGGUGAUGCCACAGACGUGAUAUGCACACACAGGGUAUGCUAGAGCGAGUUACACGGACGCACUUCAGACAGUGCAUUGAAUGUUAUCUACAACAAAUAGAAAAUGCAAAAAAAUGCAAAGACUAAUCAGAGCAGGCCAUGGUCUAGCAAUCAUGAUAAGCACAUAACAUAUUGUACAGACCCAAAUAUAAUCAAAGGCAGCAUGCCAACACACACAUCAAAGAAAGACACACCACAUGUAAUCGCGACAAUAAAGGUAAAUAGUGAUCCUACCUCCUAAGUAGGAUCAAUUAGUUCAUCACAUCAUUAUACCAAGAGCACACACACACUGGCAAAUCAUCUAAAAGGCUGAUCCAACAAAAGAGGGUACACAGUGCAGAAGAACGAGGCCAGCAAAAGAGGGUCCUUGCACAAUAAAUAGCAAUAGAACCGACCAACAAUCCUGGAAAUAAGAGUAAGUACUAAAUUUGCAGGCAAUGAAAUAGUCACAUUUGUAACGAUUGUCCAUAGAUUUGUCUUAAUUGAUCAUAAUCCAUUGCACUCCUGACACUAAACAAAUUCGUAACCGCUCUUUUCCGAGAUAUGAUGUUGUGAAUAUAAUUAACCUUCAUAAGAAAGAAAUAAUUUCUAGCCUAAAAAUAGCUCACGGCCAACACUGUCCAUCACCACUGUUAACCUUCAAGAAUAACAGGACAAUAUAAUUAAUCCUUGAGGCAAAGAACGAAAUCAGAGACUAACCCAGACCAACAAUUAAUCUUAAUUAUACUAACCAGCCAUGCAAUCAAUCCUUAAGCUAAAGAACUAAAUCAGAGACCAACCCAGGCCAACAAUCAACCCUCAAGCCAAACACUCGAACCAAGAAAUUUGGGACACAUUUUAGCCUUACAUAAUUCAGCGUGCAGUGAAUCCUAAAGACAAAGAACCAAAUCAGAGACUAACCCAGUGCUCUUUUUCUAAUCAACCAUGUGACCUAUCCAUUCCUGUGAUUACAUUGCUAAGCAAGGACCAAAUUAAUCUAGCACUUGAGGACAAUACUCUAAUACAAACAACUGCACCCACAACAGGCAUAGACCACCCAUGUUCUUAACCAACCAUGCAACCUCACUGACCGCCAAGGCAAACAAUUAAGAAAGGACCAAUGAAAACAAAUCAACAAUGACACCAUCUAAGAAUCCAACAACAGAAGCCCACGAAUAACCUGUUCCCCACCUCUCUUUUGCAAGGCCUAAUCGAUUACAGACAAAUCCAGCCCCUGAAAAUAGUACAUUGAUUCCAAGAACGUCAGAACCACACCUACAGCAACACAGAUUGUCUUAUAUUUUCCCAACCAACUUGUCAGAUGUCCAACCCCGAAGAUAAACGGACAAGGAAGAGCUUGGGUUAACCAAUCCAUUCAGGCAGACAAUUUCCAAGAACAGAGCCCAUGCACAAUCCAUCUCAUCACCUUCACCUAACAAGCUCCAAUCAAGCACCUAAGAAUGGCUCCUAAACCCACUGAACAGCAACCACGAAAGGUACAAUCCGUUAAAUUAACCAGGCAUGUGAUUCAUGCAACUAAUCCUUAAGAAAAAGAACUAAAGCAGGUACUAACCCGAAUGGCAACAAAUCUGCGUCAUAUUCUAACCUAAUGUAAUCCAACAAUUAAUCAUCAAGAGAAACAC
Molecule: long non-coding RNA, 5272 nt
Filed under: Triticum aestivum (bread wheat)
Lineage: Eukaryota; Viridiplantae; Streptophyta; Magnoliopsida; Poales; Poaceae
Description: long non-coding RNA (TAES_LNC003645)
Source: RNAcentral